Molecule: ribosomal RNA, 167 nt
Filed under: uncultured Sphingomonas sp.
Lineage: Bacteria; Pseudomonadati; Pseudomonadota; Alphaproteobacteria; Sphingomonadales; Sphingomonadaceae
Description: partial 16S ribosomal RNA
Rfam family: Bacterial small subunit ribosomal RNA
Source: RNAcentral
UACGGGAGGCAGCAGUGGGGAAUAUUGGACAAUGGGCGAAAGCCUGAUCCAGCAAUGCCGCGUGAGUGAUGAAGGCCUUAGGGUUGUAAAGCUCUUUUACCCGGGAUGAUAAUGACAGUACCGGGAGAAUAAGCUCCGGCUAACUCCGUGCCAGCAGCCGCGGUAAU